Molecule: ribosomal RNA, 253 nt
Filed under: uncultured bacterium
Lineage: Bacteria
Description: partial 16S ribosomal RNA
Rfam family: Bacterial small subunit ribosomal RNA
Source: RNAcentral
UACGUAGGGGGCAAGCGUUGUCCGGAUUUAUUGGGCGUAAAGAGCGUGUAGGCGGCUAUGCAGGUCCGCUGUGAAAACUCGAGGCUCAACCUCGAGACGUCGGUGGAAACCGCAUGGCUAGAGUCCGGAAGAGGAGAGUGGAAUUCCCGGUGUAGCGGUGAAGUGCGCAGAUAUCGGGAAGAACACCCGUGGCGAAGGCGGCUCUCUGGGACGGUACUGACGCUGAGACGCGAAAGCGUGGGGAGCGAACAGG